CGAGCUUUUUUUUCUAAAAAGGAAGAAAAACAGUAGAUGGACAUAACCAAACAAGCCACACAUCAAGCAUCAUCAUCACCGUUCUAUAGAACACAAGAAUACUGCCUGCUGCCCUACUGGGAAGCACUCUCCUUUUCUUUCUCCUUCUCUUCUUCAGUCUUGGGGUGGUACCCAGGUAACUUCUCCUUGAUCUUCUCGAGUAGUCCCUUCUUCUCCUUGGCAUCUCCUUCAUGGGAAACUGCAGCUUCAGGGGAAACAUGUUCAGGAGCUGGAGGAGGGACCUCGUCAGCUUUCUUAUGUCCUGGCAAUUUCUCCUUGAUUUUGUCAAGGAAACCCUUCUUAUCCUCUGGUUCAUGGGGUGUCUCUGUAUGGACUACCUCGACAGGAACACUAGUAUCCUCGUGUUCCUUCUCCUCUCCUUUCUCUCCUGAUAUCUUCAUCUUCUCUUUCAAUGACCUCUUUUCCUUCUUCUUCUUCUUUUUCUCUUCAUCGUCACCUUCCUCCUCGUCGCUAGACUGCAUUUUUUAACACAUCAAAAAAUCUGUCAAUCUCAAGAAACACUUAACGGAAAAGACAACAAACAAAAUAAAUAAUGAGAUCGAUCCAUGGAUCGAGUUAGAAACUUACAGAGCUGGAAGAACUGCUGCCUGAUCGAUGGAGUUUCUCAAAGAGAGUAGGUUUCUUCUCCUCUUCCUCUUUUUUCUUGUGCUCUUCCUCUACUUUAGUCUCGGGUUCAGAAACCUGAAGUUUCUCUUCAAAUUCAGUACCAAUCACCUCCUCUUGAGGCUUCUCUUCUUCUUUCUUCCCCAGGAAAUCAAACAACCCGCGAUCCUUGGUCUCAACAGCACCACUCUCUUCACCAACUUUGGUCUCAUACUCAUGGCUCUUGUUUUCCUCAGCCAUACUGAUCAAAAUCACAAUAUGAACCUAAUCAAGAAAAGAUCAAAAUCACAACAGAGUAAUUAAAAUGAGUAAGCUUCUGCUUCGAGUGAUUUGCGCUUGUAACUGAUGGUUUGGGUUUGGGUUUGGGUUAGCAAGGGUGAUGGGCUUUUAUAGCUGGAAGCCAACGCGGAGCUGACGCGAUUAAGAAGUAAUAAAGCCAAGUGAGCUGGGCCAGUCAGGUUUCACUUCUGUAACCGACGUGUAAAUUUAAGUAAGGGAGGAAAUCAAAACGUAUUACUUCCGACAUGUAUAGAAUUAUAUGUACUCGCUUGAAUGAUUGGCUAGAUGUCUAGUAAUUAGAGAUGGAACUCAUGGGAGUGGUGGAGGCAUAAGCGUGUUCAAUACGCGGAGGAAUGUGUAAAGUAGCAGUCUGAAAGGAGGGAAGGAAGUAGAAAAGUUGAGAGGGGUACGCUGUAAUGUUCUGCAAAUGCCUUGGCGACACGUGGAACGAGAACGUGAAUGGCUGUCCUUGAGUGAGACCCGUGGUGUCGGCCUCGAUUGGAUAAAUAUGAAAGUGGGGGCGGUGUAUCUCGGGGCCACAGCAGAUUUUUUUUGUGUGUGUUGAGUGUGGGGUGGGAUUUUUUUUUUCUCAACGUAAAUAAAAUAUAGGUGCUGUAAACGUUUUUAUUAUUAUUAUUGAGAAAAAUUAUAAUGCAAGUUAAAAAGUUUAUAUUUGGGUUUAAUAAAAUAAACCAAUAAUUAUAUAUUAACAAAUGAUAAUAAAUCUAUUUGUUUUAAUUAAAUAUCCAGUUGAAAAGCUGAGGAAAAGAUGUUAUUUCUUGAAAACAAAUAUUGAAUAUUUGUUUCAUUUUAAAAUUAAAAUUUUUAAUUUUUAAUGGUUUUGAAUCAAUAAAAGUUCAAUUUUAUUUUGUUAGUAUUAACUCAAUGUUAAAAUUUAUAAUUGAUAUUGCAAUAACCCAAUUUAAAGUCAACUAGAAUAAACUAUGAAACCUACUUCUAGAUCAGGCUAAUAUGAGGGGAUCAAAUUAAAAAAAAAAAAAAUGAAACUAUCAAACUAAGAUGCGCCCUUAUAUGAUUUUUAUUCAUUUGAUUGUUAAAAAUAACAAUCAAAUGAAUAAAAAUCAAAUUUAACAUAUAUAUAUAAAAAAAACAACAUAGAGUUAAGCGCAAAACUCAACAAGAGACGGAAAAAAAAAGAAAAGAAAAAAAAAACCGGAGAGCCCUUGUCUCAAUGGGCCAUUAGAUAAGAAACUCCUCACCGUGAUGAUUUUGUUGGCACCAUGUAAGGGCGCAUCUCGAGCUUGGUAGUCGUUGCAAUUGUCGUCACAAUAUUGUGUCAUUUCUAAGUUAUUGGUGCAUGUGCUACAUAUGAUUAUUAUUUUUUUCAAGUUCGUUCAAUCUAGUCACUGGUUUCAAAAAAAAAAUGAUUGAACAUUUAUUUUAGAUUCAAAUUUGCCUUAUAAAGAUUCAUUUAUUUUAAAUGUGUCUAGUUGAUUAUCAACCGAGCAUUAAAAGUUUUUUUCAACAUGUCAAGAGCUCCAUGUAAAGUAAAGUAAAACAAAUUAUAAAACUGAAAAGCAAAUCAAUUUAUUGUGAAAAUGAUCAAAUUAAAAAAAUACGAGAGGGUGAGAUUAAAAAAAAGGCAAGAGUGAAAGAAAUAAACAGGAGAGGUGUUCGUUGUUCAAAUAAGCAGCAAAGCAACCUCAGAUAUUUUAUUGUUUUCUCUAGUAAUAUACAUGGAAUGGCUACUAAAUUUAAUUUUAGAAACGGAUUAUUUAUAUUAAGAUUAGAAGAUUUAUGGGAAAAUAUAUUCUUAUCACACAAAAUUAUCUAUUCGUUUAAUUCAUUUUGGUCUAGAACUAUUAACUUACUAAUUAGAUUAAUUAUUGGAUUACUGAGUUAUCAAGAGAUAUUGAAACAUAUAUUUUAUAAACAAAUUAGUAGAAGAAGUAAAGAAUGGCGGGCUUGGAUUUUAUAAAAUUAAUUAAAUUAACAUAUCAAUUUGUAUAGAUAUCUAGUAUUCAUGAUUUGAAAGAUCUACACGGGAGGAACUGGGAAUUCAAGGUUAUAGAAGCAGGGGGGUAUAUUAAGAUACAAAAAUCAUUUACACAUAAAAAUAUAUAUAUACAAUAAUUAUAGAUUUUAACUAAAAUAUACUAUUUUUUUUACUAAAAAGGACUUUUUAUAAAAAAUAAAAUUUAUAUAAAAUAACUAUUAAAUUUUGGUCAUCAUUUUAAACUUUCAGAGGGGUCAUGUGCACUGGGCCUCUUAUUCGGUAGCAUUUCUACCUCAGUGACCAGCAGAAUCACUUACAAACUAGUUAAUUGGCAGGGUUAGGGUAUAAAAAUCUAUCUUGACCUAUAAGAUCCGACUUUUUUGUAGCCUUGCCUUUUUUGGAUUACCUGCCUUAGUUGAUACCGUGGUAUUUUUUUAUAAUUAUAAUUUUUAAAAAUAAAUUUAUAAAUUAUAUUUUUUUAAUUAAAAUUUUAAAAAAUAUUUUCUAGUAAAAUCAAUAUAAAAUUAAAAUGUAUAUUAAUUAAUCAAGUAUUUUCAUAUGUAUAGUCUGGAGGUGGUUAAAAUCAUGGUAUAAAGUGUUUUUCAUAGUAUUUUUUUGUUUAAAAAUAUAUUAAAUAAUAUAUAUUUUUUAGUUUUAAAUGAAAAUAUAAUAAAAAAAUAUUAAUUUAAAAAAUUUAACUGCACAAAUCUGAAGACAAACCGCAAACCACGGAGCGUAAUCCAUUUUUUAAACAGUAAUUAUAAGAAUCCUAUGUAAGUAUUCAGGAUUUAACCGUACGAAGGGUCUGGGCGUCGUUCCUCGUCAUCGGAAAAAGUACCCCGAGUUGGGUGGGACCUGAGGGCGGUUUCGUCGGCAAGAAACUGAGGAAGGGAAGGGUAUCUCGAGAUUUGCGACUAGCAGGUUUGUGGUACGGUUCAUGUGUGGUGAGAGGCAAUAGUUUAAGGUGAUAAAUCGCUCUUUGACGUCGUGGAUGCGUUACUUGAGUGGACAGAUUGUCGGUUUAGUGUUGCCGAUGAUUGCAUUUCCAAGAUAUUUAUUUAUGAAUUACACACUAAUCCACUUUUUUUGUGGAGUGGUCUUUUGUGUUUGGCACAUGUCCACGUGUGAUUGCAAGUGACUGCUUCCAACCAUUCCAACUUCCAAUUGUUUAUUUAAUUAAAUUCACAUCAGCAUCAACUAUUUAUUAAAAUACCAUUAUUUUAAAAAGAUCUCAAUGCCAGCAGUUUUGGUAUUAUUUUUUUAACUUUGUUUGUGAAGUUAAAACCCCCCCCUGAAACCCAACUUUUAGAGCUCAGCUAUUGGAAGGAUUAUCUCUUUUAGGCUCCACUGAAUUAUACUUUUUCUAAGCCUAUUAAGUGUAUAAAGAUUCUUUAAUAAGCAUAUUAUAUUUCUAUUGAUAUUGACAUUAUAUAAGAAAUAGUAUGUAAUUUUUUUUAAACCUCCAUCAUAUUUUUAUCCAUUUAUAUGUGAGAGAUAUUUCUCAUCAACAUUAAUAUAUAUAUAUCAAUGAUAUUUUUUAUUUUUAAUAUUAUUAGAACAACAUUACAUUUUAGUCAUUUCUCUACACUGAAAGACUCGUAAGCUGUAAAUACAUCAUGAAUCAUUUAAAUAAAAUGUUCGGAAUCUUAAUUCUUUACUAAAUGUUUAUUUUUAUAAUAUCUAUUUGUAAUAUUAUUGUAUUUUCUUUUAAAAAAAUCACUAACUUAAUCAUUUGAGAGUUUUUAAAUUU
RNAcentral lists this long non-coding RNA (4649 nucleotides) under Populus trichocarpa (black cottonwood). Its description in RNAcentral is "long non-coding RNA (PTRI_LNC001618)". Lineage: Eukaryota; Viridiplantae; Streptophyta; Magnoliopsida; Malpighiales; Salicaceae. The record is from RNAcentral.